GCCCCUGUCCUCCAGGCCCUCUUCCUCCAGACCCUCGUCCUCCAGGCCCCUGUUCCUCCAGACCCUCGUCCUCCAGACCCUCAUUCUCCAGGCCCCCGUCCUCCAGGCUCCAUCCUCCAGGGCUCCUCUGGGUCCGGGUCAAGUACCUCCAGGCUCUCUGCUGACUGUUCACCACUGGGCAACCACAGGGACUCGAUCCAUGAAAACUCUGGCAAGGUCAGUUUCCUUGUUCUACAUCCCUGUCACUUUAGUCACCAUCAUGAUAUAAGUGACUGAGUCAUUGUUUUCUCUCAUAUUCCCACCCACCUCUCCUCUCUGCUUCCUCCCCAUCAACUCGACUUCCCACCGCUCACUGCAGCCCCUUCAGGAUUCCUGCUGCGACCACCUGACCCAUGCAAAAGAGACCACUUCUCAGCCUCUCUCACUCUCCUGGCCCUGGCGGAAGCCUGUGUUGUCAUAGGCAUGCUUCCCUGGAAUCCUGCUCAGGCCCCCACGCAGGGACACUGAGUGCCCACAGAGUUGGGAAACCAUUACACGAGAUGGGACGUCUGCAAUAGAGUGGCAUCGCUAGUUGAAAGUGGAGCUGUUCACAACCUCCACAACUGUACUUGGUGGCCACGUCCCCAUCACAUGGGCUCAGACUGGGGGCUGGACAUUGACUUUGAGCCCCAAGUCUUCACCCUCAUGCAAAAACCAUCCUCCUUGGAGAUGCAGGCUGGGAAGGGCGCCAUGUCCGGAGUCCCUGCCCUGCUGUCAUCUGCCGACCUUUGUGCAGCCUGUCCCUUUCGUUAAGAAUUUCAGCACUGAGUUCACUGUGUUCCUUGUCAUGCUAAGACUUGGCCACAUCCCAGCCAUCUUCAACAUGGCGGUCGAUGUUUCAUCAAAAUUCACAGUCGCUCAGAUUUUAUUUUUCCUCAUCUCUAGGAACUUCCAUCUCCACUCCACUUCUGCCACUUCUGCCACCCUCCCAUGACCACACUCAGAACUUGAGCUCCACCUCUGAAAGAGGCAGAAUUGCCUUAUCUCACACAGUGGUGACAGCACUCUGUAAUAAUCUGCAUGGGCCAGGGCUCCUUGGUUGCAGGUAACAGAUACCACUGUUACGGCCCAACUCUGUUCUUCUAUGUUGAAGCCGGAACCCCCAGCGCCUCAGAAUGGGAUCACAUCUGGAGAAGGCGCCUUUAAAGAGAACCCAUCGUAUAAAAAGGCCAUACCUUCUGGAGGGACGUCGAUGGUAUUAGGAUAGAAGCACCAGGGGACCCCACGAACGGUGUCGUCGAAACAGCAGCCCUUAUUUGCACACUGGGAGGGCGUGACACCAGGAAAACCACAAUUCUGUCUUUCACGGGGGGCCACUGUACACGUCUCUGAAAGUGCACAGGUAAGAAGCAAAGUAAGUUGUGGGCUGAAUUCCUUGAUGUUAUCAUGCACACACCCAUCCAGCUUCCUUCUCCAAUGACAUCAGCAACUGUCCAGUGAGGCGGAUAUAAAACCCUCAGGACAUGAGAGGGAGACGUGGUCCUCACAUCCUGAUGUGCAAACAUUACGCUCAGGGAAAAUGCAAGGUGCCCCAGGUUUGUGGACUUUGCAUCUUUCUAGGUAACUUAUUUAUUCACUUUUUAAUUUCAACAAAUGAUUAUUAAAUUUUACUCAAUACAUAAAUAUUUACUGAGCACCAUUUGUGUGCAUGAGAAGUGGGAGCUAGCAUGGCAAAAGCCAGGCACUGUGCCAGGUGAGAGAGACCCAGAAAUUAAAACCAGAGAAGUCAUUAAUAAGAGUCUAAAUAUCUGGGCCCAGGCUCAUGCCUGUAAUCCCAGCACUUUGGGAGGCUGAAGGAGGUGAAUCACUUGAGGUCAGGAGUUCAAGACCAGCCUGACCAAAAUGGUGAAGCCCCAUCUCUACUAAAAAUACAAAAAAUUAGGCGGGCAUUGUGGCACACGUCUGUAAUCCCAGCUACUUGGGAGGCUGAGGCAGGAGAAUCACUUGAACCCAGGAGGCAGAGGUUGUAGUGAGCCAAGAUCGCACCAUUGCACUCCAGCCUGAGUGACAGAGCAAGACUCCAUCUCAAAAAAAAAAAAAAAAGAGUCUAAGGAUCUGAUGGAGGAGAAAGGCAAGAACAUGUGCGAGACAACGCAAGGCCAUCGUCCCAGGGUGCCCAGGGUAACCACGGGGGUAGGGCACUCCCCGGAGAGGCCAAUGACAAGCAGGUUGAACAAAGCAGGGGGGCUCCCUGCAGGAGGAGGUUCACCAGGUGAAGAUGGAGCCGCAUGGGCAAAGGCCAUUCCAGAGACCCAGGUGUGUUCAGGAGGUGGAAACCCAUUGCAGGUAAGGUGAGAGGACCGGGUGGGGUGGUCUAGGAGGAGCCGACAGAGGGUACAAGCUGUGAAACAGCUUGAAGCAGGGCAGUGAGGAAAGGGAUCUAGAGGAGGAAGACACGUGGACAGAUGGGGCUGGCUGGGGGCUGCCGCAGGAUCUUAUGCAAGAGGUUCUAACACCAGAGCUUCAGGCUCUGAGCUCCGCGGAAUCAAAGGUCUCAGAAAGCAACCUAUUAGGAUCUGGUGGUUGACAGCCUGCAGCAGGGGGUGAAAGAGGAGCCCAGAGCACCCUCCGGUCCCUGUCCCUGCCUUGGGGCAUAGGAGGGGAGGAACUCAGUCUGGCCACACUGGCUCAGGUGAGGGCGCCCCAGGGGAGGCCGAGAGGGGCUGUUCUCUUGUCUGCUUUGCUAUCAGGGACUGCCUCGAGAUGUCUUUGGAGAAAGUGUUCCUGGCUUGCUGGGAAGGAUCCGUGUUCAGCUCCCGCUGCCCAGCAGCUUCCAUGGGAACCUUGCCCUCCUGGGGUCUGGAUCCAUCGCGACGUGAAGGUGAUCAUCGCCCACCCCCGGGACACUGUGGGGGUCAAGAGAGGCCCCGUGGUGAGGGAGGAUCAUCAUCCUGGGGGUCGGGGGGGUUUCCUCCUCAGGGAGGAAGAUUUCCAGCCCCGGUGCUCUGCCUCCGGCAGACUCUGUCUUGCCCACCCGCUUUGUCUUUGUCGCAUGAUGGAAAUAAAUGGAAAUGGUUUCCACACACGAAUGCA
Homo sapiens (human) is the source of this 3072-nucleotide long non-coding RNA. RefSeq lists it as uncharacterized. Lineage: Eukaryota; Metazoa; Chordata; Mammalia; Primates; Hominidae. The record is from RefSeq and is a predicted model, not a curated record. The transcript has 3 exons.